UACGGAGGGUGCAAGCGUUGUUCGGAAUUACUGGGCGUAAAGCGUGCGUAGGCGGUUUGUUAAGCUGGAUGUGAAAGCCCCGGGCUCAACCUGGGAAUUGCACUCAGAACUGGCAGGCUAGAGUACGGUAGAGGUGAGUGGAAUUUCCUGUGUAGCGGUGAAAUGCGUAGAUAUAGGAAGGAGCAUCAGUGGCGAAGGCGACUCACUGGACUGAUACUGACGCUGAGGUGCGAAAGUGUGGGGAGCAAAC
This 250-nucleotide ribosomal RNA is filed under the name uncultured bacterium. Its description in RNAcentral is "partial 16S ribosomal RNA". It matches the Rfam family "Bacterial small subunit ribosomal RNA", at positions 524 to 773 of the family's 1533-position model. The record is from RNAcentral.